RNAcentral lists this long non-coding RNA (236 nucleotides) under Gossypium barbadense (sea-island cotton). RNAcentral describes it as "long non-coding RNA (GBAR_LNC000645)". Lineage: Eukaryota; Viridiplantae; Streptophyta; Magnoliopsida; Malvales; Malvaceae. The record is from RNAcentral.
AAUGGCACUUAAUGAAAGUAUGAUAAACAAAGUAUUAGUAACAUCCUAAUCGAAAUAAUAGUAUGAACGAAAGUCAUGGAUCAGAGGAUCUUUCAUACUUACGUAAUAACAAAGGAAAAAGGAAAGGAGGAAAGAAAAAGGGAGAAAAUAAAAAUGAAGUGGGGAGUGUAUAGGUUCAAUGGCUAGCCAAGGUAAGGUAAGGGAGAGGUUUUGGCAAGUUAAGGGGACAAUGGCAC